Molecule: ribosomal RNA, 206 nt
Filed under: Photobacterium pectinilyticum
Lineage: Bacteria; Pseudomonadati; Pseudomonadota; Gammaproteobacteria; Vibrionales; Vibrionaceae
Description: partial 23S ribosomal RNA
Rfam family: Bacterial large subunit ribosomal RNA
Source: RNAcentral
AGACCAAGGGUUCCUGUCCAACGUUAAUCGGGGCAGGGUAAGUCGACUCCUAAGGCGAGGCCGAAAGGCGUAGUCGAUGGGAAACGGGUUAAUAUUCCCGUACUUCUUACAAUUGCGAUGGGGGGACGGAGAAGGCUAGGUGGGCCUGGCGACGGUUGUCCAGGUUCAAGUACGUAGGCGGAAAGUUUAGGUAAAUCCGGACUUUC